This 373-nucleotide ribosomal RNA is filed under the name uncultured organism. Its description in RNAcentral is "bacterial SSU rRNA". It matches the Rfam family "Bacterial small subunit ribosomal RNA", at positions 525 to 896 of the family's 1533-position model. The record is from RNAcentral.
ACGGAGGGUGCGAGCGUUAAUCGGAAUUACUGGGCGUAAAGGGUGCGUAGGUGGUUGUAUAAGUUAUCUGUGAAAUCCCCGGGCUUAACCUGGGCAGGUCAGAUAAGACUGUAUGACUCGAGUAUAGGAGGGGGUAGUGGAAUUUCCGGUGUAGCGGUGAAAUGCGUAGAGAUCGGAAGGAACACCAGUGGCGAAGGCGGCUACCUGGCCUAAUACUGACACUGAGGCACGAAAGCGUGGGGAGCAAACAGGAUUAGAUACCCUGGUAGUCCACGCUGUAAACGAUGUCAACUAGUUGUUGGCCUUAUGAAUGAGGUUAGUGACGCAGCAAACGCGAUAAGUUGACCGCCUGGGGAGUACGGUCGCAAGAUUA